RNAcentral lists this ribosomal RNA (451 nucleotides) under uncultured bacterium. RNAcentral describes it as "partial 16S ribosomal RNA". It matches the Rfam family "Bacterial small subunit ribosomal RNA", at positions 29 to 523 of the family's 1533-position model. The record is from RNAcentral.
AACGAACGCUGGCGGCAUGCCUAACACAUGCAAGUCGAACGAGAUCUUCGGGUCUAGUGGCGCACGGGUGCGUAACGCGCGGGAAUCUGCCCUUUGGUUCGGAAUAACAGUUGGAAAUGACUGCUAAGACCGGAUGAUGACGAAAGUCCAAAGAUUUAUCGCCAGAGGAUGAGCCCGCGUAGGAGUAGCUAGUUGGUGUGGUAAAGGCGCACCAAGGCGACGAUCCUUAGCUGGUCUGAGAGAAUGAUCAGCCACACUGGGACUGAGACACGGCCCAGUCUCCUACGGGAGGCAGCAGUGGGGAAUAUUGGACAAUGGGCGAAAGCCUGAUCCAGCAAUGCCGCGUGAGUGAUGAAGGCCUUAGGGUUGUAAAGCUCUGUUGUAAGGGAAAAAGUUCUGAUUGUACCUUACGAGAAAGGAUCGGCUAACUUCGUGCCAGCAGCCGCCGUAA